AGUGAACGCUGGCGGUAGGCCUAACACAUGCAAGUCGAACGGCAGCACAGUAAGAGCUUGCUCUUACGGGUGGCGAGUGGCGGACGGGUGAGGAAUACAUCGGAACCUACUUUUUCGUGGGGGAUAACGUAGGGAAACUUACGCUAAUACCGCAUACGACCUACGGGUGAAAGCAGGGGAUCUUCGGACCUUGCGCGAUUGAAUGAGCCGAUGUCGGAUUAGCUAGUUGGCGGGGUAAAGGCCCACCAAGGCGACGAUCCGUAGCUGGUCUGAGAGGAUGAUCAGCCACACUGGAACUGGGACACGGUCCAGACUCCUACGGGAGGCAGCAGUGGGGAAUGUUGGACAAUGGGCGCAAGCCUGAUCCAGCCAUACCGCGUGGGUGAAGAAGGCCUUCGGGUUGUAAAGCCGGUUUGUUGGGAGAGAAAAGCAGCAGGUUAAUACCACGCGGUUCUGACGGUACCCAAAGAAUAAGCACCGGCUAACUUCGUG
RNAcentral lists this ribosomal RNA (492 nucleotides) under uncultured bacterium. Its description in RNAcentral is "partial 16S ribosomal RNA". It matches the Rfam family "Bacterial small subunit ribosomal RNA", at positions 29 to 507 of the family's 1533-position model. The record is from RNAcentral.